GAACGCAAGUUGCGCCCGAGGCCACUAGGUCGAGGGCACGUCUGCCUGGGCGUCACAC
Molecule: ribosomal RNA, 58 nt
Filed under: Adonis brevistyla
Lineage: Eukaryota; Viridiplantae; Streptophyta; Magnoliopsida; Ranunculales; Ranunculaceae
Description: partial 5.8S ribosomal RNA
Source: RNAcentral